UUUGUGUUGUUAUUUGUGUUGAAGUUUUUCAAAUGCCGAUUAGAUAUUUUUAAUUUUAAAGUUACCAUAAGUGAUGGUUUGCUCCAGAAGUAUAUUUAUUGUAAAGACCAGAAAAGCAUGGUUACAUGUUUCUAAUUUUUGGAUGAUUGAUAAAUGCUUAAUUCUCAGAAGAAUUUCUCUACUUGCCUGUAGAUUAAAUUUUUAAUAAUGUAAAUUUGUCCAAGUAAAUUUGGGAAUUCAUUUUAACCACUUCAGUUAGUCUGUAUAUUACGCUCUUGAAAAAUUCUUAUAAAGUGAAAGAAAUUGUUGGUGAUAUGUUAUAAUGGUCUUAACUAUAUAGAAUUGAUCUAGAACUGGCAGUUGAGCUUUGUUGACCUGAUUCUAAAAAUAUUCUUUCCUUGCUAUAUAUUAUAACUUUUUAUAGUGUUAACAGUGCUUAACUUAAUAUACUUACAUGUGUUUUUUAUAUAUGUAUAAUUUUAUAUUUACUUAGAGAAAGUCUGCUACAAUUAAAUUUCCUUGGCUUAUUGAAAAUGUUUUGUUUUAUGCUUCACAAAUCUUUGGAUGUCAACUUUUAAAAUAUUUCAGGUAGGCGGUGUGUAGGAAAUAAUGAUAAUGGAAAUAUUCCAAAUGAAAAUCACAUUUUUAGAAAUUCAGUCUCUAAAAGACUUUUUAAAGGUUUUGAGAAAAAGAUAAUCUAAAUGACCUGUUAAAUUUAAGGAACACCAAGUCAAAUUUAAUUUGAAUGCAGGUCCACAUAUUUCACCAUGUAUGUUAGUGUUCUGUUAAAGACUACUAUGGUAUACCAUUUUGAAAACAUUAUUGUUAUAUAGACACAUGCCAGAAAGAUUUCUUGCCAUCAAAUUCAGUUUCUUUCAGUAAAUGGCACAGUUUUUAAAGGCAAUAACAUUUAAAGUGAUAUUUGUAGAGCUUGUUCUAAAGUUAUCAGAGUUUUUUGUUUUGUUUGGGUUUUUUUUGUUUAUUUGUUUUUUGCACUUUUUAGGGCCACACCUGAGGCAUGUGGAAGUUCCCAGGGCUAGGGGUCUAAUCAGAGCUUUUGCUGCCAGCCUACACCACAGCCAUGGCAACGCUAGACCCAAGCCGAGUAUGCAACAUACACCAGAGCUCAUGGCAAUGCUGGAUCCUUUAACCGACUGAGUGAGGCCAGGAAUUGAACCCCCAACCUCAUGGUUCCUAGUCGGAUUUGUUUGAGCUGCGCCACGACAGGAACUCCAGCAGUCUUGAACUACUGGCCAGGUAUCCUGUACAAUGUCCCUCAAUUUGGAUUUGUAUGAUUUUUUUUUUUUUUGCUUUUUAAGUCUGCACUCUCAGUAUAUGGAGGUUCCCAGGCUAGGGGUCCAGUCGGAGCUACAGCUGCUGGCCUCGCCAUAGCCACAGCAACGCAGGAUCCGAGCCACGUGUGCAAACUACGCCAUAGCUCACGGCAGUGACAGAUCCUUAACCCACUGGAGAGGCCAGGGAUUGAACCUGCAAUCUCAUGGUUCCUAGUCGGAUUUGUUUCUGCUGCGCCACGAUGGGAACUCCAGAUUUGUAUGAUUUUUUUGUUAGAAUAAACUAGGGUUAUUGGUUACCAGUUUUUGGAAAGAAUAUCAGAGAUGAAGUGCUCUACUGAUCACAUCAUAUGGGGAGUAUAAUAUCCAUUUGAUGUUACUGAUGAUGUUGACUUUUAUUACUUGGCCAGGAUAGUAUUUGCCAGGUUUUUCCACUGUAAAGUUAGUGUUUUUCCUUCCUAUACUGUAUACUUUGGAAGGAAAUCACUAUGUCUAGCCCACUCUCAAGGGACGUGGUGAGUAGUGGGGUGGGAAUUAAGUUCUAUCUCCUGCUGGGAGGGACUAUCUACAUAGUAUUAAAUGGAAUUCUUCUGUAAAGAAAUAAUUUCUCCUUCAUUAAUUCAGUCAUUCACAAAUACCUAUGUGUAUUUUUAUACUUUGAGUUAUAAUCCAGUAAGUUAAUUUUGUUGCUCAGAUUGCUUUAGCCUUGCCCUUUGGGAACUUUAUCCAGUUGGCUUCUGUAUUCUUACACAUUUCCGUUCUUUUGCCCUAGAAUCAACCAUUUCUCCAAAGAGCCCUUAUUCCUUGUAUUAAGAAAAGGGUAUUAAGAAACCAAGAUUUGAGUGCAGGGUUGCAACUCAGGUGUCACUACUUCUAGGCCGUCUCAGUGGACAGAGCAAACAGAGCUAGGUUAUAUCUAUAUGUGUUUAUAUGUACUAAACCAUAUGUAUCUAUAGUUGUUUCUAUAUUUGUGUGCAUAUUAAGGUAAACAUGAGUUAGUACUGUUGUCUUUACCUCUAAUGCUAUACUACAGGAUUCGUCCUAACUUUACUUUCUUGCUCCUCUGUAACUUCCUUCUCUAAUAGAGAGGAGCCUGACUCUCACCAUCUACCAUCCACCAUGCAUGCACUUGAACCUCAGUAUAUAAGUAAAGUAGUCUCAAAAAUUUUAUACUGUACUCCCAAAAGAAAUAAAUUUACCAACUUAAAUACAGUGUUUAUGUACAAUGUACAGUCCUUUUGUAUUUAACUUUACAGUUUCUAGUCAAGACACUAUUUUUCUUUUUUGUUCUUUUUAAAAAAUUUUGUUGGAGUACAGUUGACUUAGAAAGUUGUGUUAGUUUCAGGUAUACAGUAAAGUAAAUCAGUUUUACACACACAUAUAUAUAUAUAUAUAUAUAUCCAUUCCUUUUCAGAUUCUUCCCAACUAAGUUAAUACACAGUAUUAAGUAGAUUUCCCCAUACAGUAGGUCCUUGUUACUUACCUAUUUUAUGUAUAGUAGUAUGUAUAUGUUAAUCCCAACCUCCUAAUUUAUCUCCCCCACCCCUAACCCCACUCCCAGCACACAUUUCCCCUUUGGUGACCAUAAGUUUGAUUUUGAAAUCUUUGAGUCUUUUUCUAUUUUCUAAGUUCUUUUGUAUCCUUUUUCUUUUUUUUUAAAAUUAGAUUCCGUAUAUUAGUGAUCUUACGAUAUUUGUCUUUCUCUGGUCAGACCUACUUCCUUUAGUAUGAUAAUUUCUAGGUCCAUCUGUGUUGCUGUAAAUAGCAUUGGUUUGUUCUUUUUUUUGUGGCUGAGUAAUAUUCCAUUGUAUAUUUGUACCACAUCUUUAUCCAUUCUUCUGUUGAUGGACAUUUAGGUUGUUUGCAUGUCUCGGCUAUUAAGACACUGUUUUUCAAAGUUACUCAAGUUAGCUUUCUUUUCUCUUACCCCUUUCGGGGUGACUAUGUCAUAUUUGUAAUAAAGUUAGAUUUAUUUGUUGGAGUUUGCAUUCCAUCCUGAGAUCCUCAGUCAUAUGGGUAGAUAUUUUAAGCUUGAAUAUAUUACAUAUAUUCUCUGAUACGGUUUUAUGGGUUUUGACAAAUUCAUAGAAUCAUUUAUCCUUCACCCCAGUACUGUACAAGAUGAUUCUUUCACCCUAAAUUUCCCCUGUUUCUUAGAUCUCCUGAAUCAAAAUUUUCGUUUUAACAAGAUUCCCAAGGAGACAUGUAGGCAUAUUCAGUUUAUAUGCAUGUAUAUGAAGCUAUUCACGUGGAAUCAUUCACUAUCUUUCCCUGUUUUGAAAUUAUAAGUUAAGUUGAAAAAAGAUGAUUUUUAUAAUGGGAUAGCCAAGUUUAAAUGUAUAAUCAGGUAAGCGUAUAUACUCAAAUUCAUGGGUUUGCAUACAGUGAGGGGAAAGAAAAUGGAGUUGGGCAGAUUACUGGAGUGAAGUAAUGGCCUAUAUGGGAAGUUUCAUGGAGCUCUUAAACCUUUGUAAUCUUAACACUGAUGAGAAAUAAUGUGAUUUGGAAAGAAAAGAACAAAUGGUUUAUUCAGAAAGAUG
This 3832-nucleotide long non-coding RNA is filed under the name Sus scrofa (pig). Its description in RNAcentral is "lncRNA (ENSSSCG00065023898.1)". The record is from RNAcentral. Lineage: Eukaryota; Metazoa; Chordata; Mammalia; Artiodactyla; Suidae.